CAGCCCAUUAAGUUAUGUGUGUUUUAGUGGAACGCUCUGGGAAGUGCGAACGUAGAGGGUGAUAUUCCCGUACACGAAAGGGCACACAUAAUGAUGACGAGUAGGGCGAGGCACGUGAAACCUUGUCUGAAUAUGGGGGGACCAUCCUCCAAGGCUAAAUACUCCUGACUGACCGAUAGUGAACCAGUACCGUGAGGGAAAGGCGAAAAGAACCCCUGUGAGGGGAGUGAAAUAGAUCCUGAAACCGCAUGCAUACAAGCAGUGGGAGCACCUUCGUGGUGUGACUGCGUACCUUUUGUAUAAUGGGUCAGCGACUUAUAUUCAGUAGCGAGGUUAACCGUAUAGGGGAGCCGUAGAGAAAUCGAGUCUUAAUAGGGCGUUUAGUUGCUGGGUAUAGACCCGAAACCAGGCGAUCUAUCCAUGAGCAGGUUGAAGGUUGGGUAACACUAACUGGAGGACCGAACCCACUGUCGUUGAAAAGCCAGGGGAUGACUUGUGGAUAGGGGUGAAAGGCUAAUCAAGCCUGGUGAUAGCUGGUUCUCCCCGAAAGCUAUUUAGGUAGCGCCUCGGACGAAUACCAUAGGGGGUAGAGCACUGUUUCGGCUAGGGGGUCAUCCCGACUUACCAAACCGAUGCAAACUCCGAAUACCUAUGAGUACUAUCCGGGAGACAGACUGCGGGUGCUAACGUCCGUAGUCAAGAGGAAAACAAUCCAGACCGCCAGCUAAGGCCCCAAAAUCAUAGUUAAGUGGGAAACGAUGUGGGAAGGCAUAGACAGCUAGGAGGUUGGCUUAGAAGCAGCCACCCUUUAAAGAAAGCGUAAUAGCUCACUAGUCGAGUCGGCCUGCGCGGAAGAUGUAACGGGGCUAAAACUAUGUGCCGAAGCUGCGGAUGUAUACUUUGUAUACGUGGUAGGGGAGCGUUCUGUAAGCCGAUGAAGGUGUGUUGAGAAGCAUGCUGGAGGUAUCAGAAGUGCGAAUGCUGACGUGAGUAACGACAAAACGGGUGAAAAACCCGUUCGCCGAAAGACCAAGGGUUCCAGUCCAACGUUAAUCGGGGCUGGGUGAGUCGACCCCUAAGGCGAGGCCGAAAGGCGUAGUCGAUGGGAAAAUGGUUAAUAUUCCAUUACUUCUGUGUAAUGCGAUGAGAGGACGGAGAAGGCUAAAUCAGCCUGGCGUUGGUUGUCCAGGUGAAAGGAUGUAGGCAUGUAUCUUAGGCAAAUCCGGGGUACUCUAUGCUGAGAUCUGAUAGCAAGCUGUACUUGUACAGCGAAGUGGUUGAUGCCAUGCUUCCAGGAAAAGUCUCUAAGCUUCAGUUACACAGGAAUCGUACCCGAAACCGACACAGGUGGUCAGGUCGAGUAGACCAAGGCGCUUGAGAGAACUCUGCUGAAGGAACUAGGCAAAAUGGUACCGUAACUUCGGGAGAAGGUACGCUGUUGUUGGUGAUGGAACUCGCUUCCUGAGCUGACGACAGCCGCAGAAACCAGGCCGCUGCAACUGUUUAUUAAAAACAUAGCACUCUGCAAACACGAAAGUGGACGUAUAGGGUGUGAUGCCUGCCCGGUGCUGGAAGGUUAAUUGAUGGGGUUAGCGUAAGCGAAGCUCUUGAUCGAAGCCCCAGUAAACGGCGGCCGUAACUAUAACGGUCCUAAGGUAGCGAAAUUCCUUGUCGGGUAAGUUCCGACCUGCACGAAUGGCAUAAUGAUGGCGGCGCUGUCUCCAGCAGAGGCUCAGUGAAAUCGAAAUCGCUGUGAAGAUGCAGUGUACCCGCGGCUAGACGGAAAGACCCCGUGAACCUUUACUGCAGCUUGACACUGAACUUUGACCUUACUUGUGUAGGAUAGGUGGGAGGCUUUGAAGCUGGAACGCUAGUUCCAGUGGAGCCGUCCUUGAAAUACCACCCUGGUAAUGUUGAGGUUCUAACUCUGUCCCGUGAUCCGGGACGAGGACCGUGUCUGGUGGGUAGUUUGACUGGGGCGGUCUCCUCCUAAAGAGUAACGGAGGAGUACGAAGGUGCGCUCAGCGUGGUCGGAAAUCACGCGUAGAGUAUAAAGGCAAAAGCGCGCUUAACUGCGAGACCCACAAGUCGAGCAGGUACGAAAGUAGGUCUUAGUGAUCCGGUGGUUCUGUAUGGAAGGGCCAUCGCUCAACGGAUAAAAGGUACUCUGGGGAUAACAGGCUGAUACCGCCCAAGAGUUCAUAUCGACGGCGGUGUUUGGCACCUCGAUGUCGGCUCAUCUCAUCCUGGGGCUGAAGCAGGUCCCAAGGGUAUGGCUGUUCGCCAUUUAAAGAGGUACGCGAGCUGGGUUUAGAACGUCGUGAGACAGUUCGGUCCCUAUCUACCGUGGGCGCUGGAAAUUUGAGAGGAUCUGCUCCUAGUACGAGAGGACCAGAGUGGACGAACCUCUGGUGUACCGGUUGUGACGCCAGUCGCAUCGCCGGGUAGCUAUGUUCGGAAGGGAUAACCGCUGAAAGCAUCUAAGCGGGAAGCCUACCUCAAGAUAAGAUUUCCCUAGGACUUUAUGUCCUCUAAAGAGCCGUUCGAGACUAGGACGUUGAUAGGUUGGAUGUGGAAGCAUAGUGAUAUGUGAAGCUGACCAAUACUAAUUGCUCGUGAGGCUUGACUA
This 2629-nucleotide ribosomal RNA is filed under the name Acinetobacter baumannii 2887. Its description in RNAcentral is "bacterial LSU rRNA". It matches the Rfam family "Bacterial large subunit ribosomal RNA", at positions 304 to 2925 of the family's 2925-position model. Lineage: Bacteria; Pseudomonadati; Pseudomonadota; Gammaproteobacteria; Moraxellales; Moraxellaceae. The record is from RNAcentral.